Molecule: non-coding RNA, 1138 nt
Organism: Cyanistes caeruleus (blue tit)
Lineage: Eukaryota; Metazoa; Chordata; Aves; Passeriformes; Paridae
Source: RefSeq, a predicted model, not a curated record
GAAGAAAGCAUGCAGUAUAUCGGUUAUUUGAUUUCUCUGGAACUCUUUGGUUGCCAUCUUCUGUGCCUUCCCAAACUCCUCCUCAUUUUGGAUCAUCCAAACAAGCAGGCAGUUCUACAAAGCAGAAGGUCCCUUCCUGCCCCUUUGCCUCUGAGCCUUGUGUGUCUUCUCCAGGUAGAAGAAAGCAGCUCUCAGCCUCUCUGAAAUGCUAUGUGCAGCAGCCACUGUCUGUGCUGGCAGCUCUCCACUGAGCUCUACCUGCUUUGACAGCAUCCCUCAUGUUCCCAGGGUCUGGGAUCUGUCCUGUCUCAUUGCUUGAACUCACCUGUGUGUGUCCAGUUUGCCCAAAUGUAGCUCAGUCAUCCUCUGUUAUGGGUAUUUUUGGUCUGACCCAGGAGCUCUGUGAGCAAACCUCGGGGAAUUUAUUUCCCUGAGCCCUUCCUGUUUCCCUCAGUUCUGCGUCCUUCACAUGACGGAGCAGUGGGCCCACAUUUCACACACGUCUCCUCUUGCUGCUGCUGUACCUUCCUCCCCACCUUCCCAUCCCUUGCAGUCACAUUUCUCCAAGCUCUCUGUAUAUGGGGCUUUUUUGCCCUUGGAGCAUCACAGCAGGACACAAUGUGAUUUGGGGUGUGUUUGACCUGGGUUCAGGGCACAAUGUGAUUUGGGGUGUGUUUGCUCUGGGAUCAGGGCACAAUGUGAUUUGGGGUGUGUUUGCUCUGGGAGCAGGGCACAAUGUGAUUUGGGGUGUGUUUGACCUGGGUUCAGGGCACAAUGUGAUUUGGGGUGUGUUUGCUCUGGGAGCAGCAGGGCACAAUGUGAUUUGGGGUGUGUUUGACCUGGGUUCAGGGCACAAUGUGAUUUGGGGUGUGUUUGACCUGGGUUCAGGGCACAAUGUGAUUUGGGGUGUGUUUGACCUGGGUUCAGGGCACAAUGUGAUUUGGGGUGUGUUUGCUCUGGGAAGCAGGGCACAAUGUGAUUUGGGGUGUGUUUGCUCUGGGAGCAGCAGGGCACAAUGUGAUUUGGGGUGUGUUUGCUCUGGAUUCAGGGCACAAUGUGAUUUGGGGUGUGUUUGCUCUGGGAGCAGGGCACAAUGUGAUUUGGGGUGUGUUUGCUCUGGGAGCAGCAGGGCACAAUG